Molecule: ribosomal RNA, 2224 nt
Filed under: Enterococcus asini
Lineage: Bacteria; Bacillati; Bacillota; Bacilli; Lactobacillales; Enterococcaceae
Description: partial 23S ribosomal RNA
Rfam family: Bacterial large subunit ribosomal RNA
Source: RNAcentral
GGUUAAGUGAAUAAGGGCGCACGGUGGAUGCCUUGGCACUAGGAGCCGAUGAAGGACGGGACUAACGCCGAUAUGCUUUGGGGAGCUGUAAGUAAGCUAUGAUCCAGAGAUUUCCGAAUGGGGGAACCCAGCAUCUUUGAUAGGAUGUUACGUUGAAGUGAAUUCAUAGCUUCAUCGAGGUAGACGCAGAGAACUGAAACAUCUAAGUACCUGCAGGAAGAGAAAGAAAAUUCGAUUCCCUGAGUAGCGGCGAGCGAAACGGGAAAAGCCCAAACCAAGAGGCUUGCCUCUUGGGGUUGUAGGACUCCGAUAUGGUAGUUUUUUCAGAUAGUCGAAUUACCUGGAAAGGUAAGUCAAAGAGGGUAACAACCCCGUAGACGAAAUUUGGAAGACACCUAGGAGGAUCCUGAGUACGGCGGAACACGAGGAAUUCCGUCGGAAUCCGGGAGGACCAUCUCCCAAGGCUAAAUACUCCCUAGUGACCGAUAGUGAACCAGUACCGUGAGGGAAAGGUGAAAAGCACCCCGGAAGGGGAGUGAAAUAGAUCCUGAAACCGUGUGCCUACAACAAGUUAGAGCCCGUUAAUGGGUGAUAGCGUGCCUUUUGUAGAAUGAACCGGCGAGUUACGAUUGCAUGCGAGGUUAAGUUGAAGAGACGGAGCCGCAGCGAAAGCGAGUCUGAAUAGGGCGCAUGAGUAUGUAGUCGUAGACCCGAAACCAUGUGAUCUACCCAUGUCCAGGUUGAAGGUGCGGUAAAACGCACUGGAGGACCGAACCCACGUACGUUGAAAAGUGCGGGGAUGAGGUGUGGGUAGCGGAGAAAUUCCAAUCGAACUUGGAGAUAGCUGGUUCUCUCCGAAAUAGCUUUAGGGCUAGCGUCGAAGUUAAGAAUGAUGGAGGUAGAGCACUGUUUGGACUAGGGGCCCAUCUCGGGUUACCGAAUUCAGAUAAACUCCGAAUGCCAUUCAUUCAUAUUCGGCAGUCAGACUGUGAGUGAUAAGAUCCAUAGUCGAAAGGGAAACAGCCCAGACCACCAGCUAAGGUCCCCAAAUAUAUGUUAAGUGGAAAAGGAUGUGGGGUUGCACAGACAACUAGGAUGUUGGCUCAGAAGCAGCCACCAUUUAAAGAGUGCGUAAUAGCUCACUAGUCGAGUGACCCUGCGCCGAAAAUGUACCGGGGCUAAACAUAUUACCGAAGCUGUGGAUUGUACCUUUGGUACAAUGGUAGGAGAGCGUUCUAAGGGCGUUGAAGGUAGAUCGUGAGGACUGCUGGAGCGCUUAGAAGUGAGAAUGCCGGUAUGAGUAGCGAAAGACAGGUGAGAAUCCUGUCCACCGAAUGACUAAGGUUUCCUGGGGAAGGCUCGUCCGCCCAGGGUUAGUCGGGACCUAAGCCGAGGCCGAAAGGCGUAGGCGAUGGACAACAGGUUGAUAUUCCUGUACCCGUUCGUUUUGUUUGAACGAUGGAGGGACGCAGGAGGCUAAGAAGUGCAGACUGAUGGAUAGGUCUGUUCAAGCAGUAAGUCUUGUGAUGAGUCAAAUGCUUAUCACUCUACGGACAAGCUGUGAUGAGGAGGGAACUAAUAGUACCGAAGCUUCUGAUGUCACACUGCCAAGAAAAGCUUCUAGUGAGAAACGAACGGCCCGUACCGCAAACCGACACAGGUAGUCGAGGAGAGAAUCCUAAGGUGUGCGAGAGAACUCUCGUUAAGGAACUCGGCAAAAUGACCCCGUAACUUCGGGAGAAGGGGUGCUGCUCUUACGAGCAGCCGCAGUGAAUAGGCCCAAGCGACUGUUUAUCAAAAACACAGGUCUCUGCAAAAUCGAAAGAUGACGUAUAGGGGCUGACGCCUGCCCGGUGCUGGAAGGUUAAGAGGAGUGCUUAGCGCAAGCGAAGGUACGAAUUGAAGCCCCAGUAAACGGCGGCCGUAACUAUAACGGUCCUAAGGUAGCGAAAUUCCUUGUCGGGUAAGUUCCGACCCGCACGAAAGGCGUAACGAUUUGGGCACUGUCUCAACGAGAGACUCGGUGAAAUUUUAGUACCUGUGAAGAUGCAGGUUACCCGCGACAGGACGGAAAGACCCCAUGGAGCUUUACUGUAGUUUGAUAUUGAGUGUCUGUACCGCAUGUACAGGAUAGGUAGGAGCCGUAGAAGUCGGGACGCUAGUUUCGACAGAGGCGCUGGUGGGAUACUACCCUUGCGUUAUGGCCACUCUAACCCGCAGCCCU